GCGCGGCGGCGCGGCUGGGUGAGCGGAGGCAGAGAGGAUCUUCGCACCCAGAGCCGAGGCUGUACGCGAGGGAGCGCAGCUCGGGGACGAGCCGCCUCCCCACCCCCGCGACGCCGUGCCCGGCUCCGGGGCGCAAGCGCUAUGGCAGGACCCCUUUCCCUUCUUCUAGCUCUUCUGAGAACCCUGGAGGGUAUACACAUUCCAACUGGGAGAUCCAUUUGAUUUCUGCUUCAAGUUAAGAUGUUUUGUAUCUUUACCAUAAAGUGAUUGAUGAUUAGAAGCUGAGGAGAAUUGAUAACACAAGAAGAUAAUGCAUUUCGAAGAGGUUUUGGAAACAAACAGCAACAGAAAAAGAUUCUUCGCUAACUUUUGAGAAAGAAAUGAUCUCAAAAUACCCUUGUGUCUACUGAUAUUUCAAGGAGGUUUGGAAGUCCAAAAGCCGGCUGUUUCUUUUCUGUGGGAUAAAGAUGGAGCAUGUGAAUCAGAACUGGUAAAUUGGAGAGGAGGUCACAAACCGAAUGGAGUUAAGCAAAGUGCAGUGCAAUCUGCAGUGGGAGAAAAGCCAGUUGUACAGAGGGGAAGGACUGGUUACCAUUAAAGUCUUCAAAAUUGGGACCUCAGAGGAGAAAUGAGUGGAGAAAUGAAUGGAGAACAACUCCUUGUUUCUCUCCCUCUCUUCUAGAGGAUGGGGCUAGUGUAAUGAGAUCCAGGUACAAUCCUUGAGAUAUCAGGGAUCCCCAUCCUGGUCUAUUCAGAAGUCCCCCAAACCUUCAGUGCCUAUAGUUCAUGUACUGCCUCUUCCAAAGAGCCUGCCUCGAUGGCUUGAUUGCAGUCAUCAAAUGACAUCUCACUAUUGAGAUGAUGUGUUUCCUUGUCCUUUUCUCAAUGGAAUGUGAGAUUCUUGAGACAAAGAUGUAACAGGCACACAAUAAUUAUUUGUUGAAUGUUGGCUGUAUCAGCUUCUCUGGUUGGAAAUAAUCCCCCCUCCUCUGAGUUCCCCUGGUGCUUUGCACUUACCUCACUCAUGUGAUCUUUUUCACAUUCCACUUUAUACUAUAAUUUCUGUAUUUUUUUAGCUCCACUAUUAUACUCAAAUUCUUCUGCAACAGAGAUGAGAUAAUGCAUGUAAAGCAUUAGUACCAUGUCUGCUGAAUAAAUGAUAGCUAUUAUUAUUUGUGUAAUGAGGCACUUGGAGGAGCAGAAAAUGAAUUUUAUUUAAAAAAACAGCUUUGGAAAAUCACAUUUGAAUAGAUCUUUAUUUUGCAAGAGUCACUUGAGUGAAUUACAAUACUACAAGAGACCUACUGCCUUGGAAGAAGGGAAUAAUACGAUGACUUGGUCUUGAAAUAUCUGUUCAGUGCUAAGCUGCACAACUUCAGGGGACAUCAUCCAUAUUGUAAUAGAUUGUGAUGGACAUAUUCUGAGAGGCACAAUGUGGAUGGUACCCCUGGAGUUCUGCAAGGAAGCUGCCCUGAAAAAAGAAAAGGAAAAGAGGCUUUGACCCUUUAUCUUUGAGGUCCUAGGUUACUGGUCCUCAAAUGGAUUGAUAUGGUACUCACUGAGAAUUAUCAGCAGGAAAGAAGAACAAGGGCCCCAGAGAGGCACUUGCCAUAAGGGAAGGGCUGUCUGCAGAGCACUGGGCUCAGCAAAGCUUUCUGACUGAGGCUAGAUGCCAUUGGGAAACAAGGAUGGACCUGAAUCACUGAAGGGCCACUGUAACCUUAAAAUCUUUCUGGGCUCUCCCCAGCACCAGUCAGAAACACCAAGGUAGAUCUAGAAGUCUCUUUUCCUCUCUAUUUCACCAGCUGCUUUUCCUCGAGGGUCCAGGAAGUUGAGACUGAUGUUUUAAUUUCACUUCAAAUAUACCAUCCUGUACUGUGUAUGCUCAGCAAGUGUUAAUGACUGACCGGCUAGCUGGUUGAGUGAAAAGUUUUAAUAUUGAAAGAAUUGGAGUCAUUCAUUAUUAUUUGAUUCCAGACAUGAGACAGAGUGGCAAUUUGAGGAAAAUAGUCCCAUGUGAUUUUG
This 2025-nucleotide long non-coding RNA is filed under the name Homo sapiens (human). RNAcentral's name for it is "non-protein coding lnc-FZD4-11:5". Lineage: Eukaryota; Metazoa; Chordata; Mammalia; Primates; Hominidae. The record is from RNAcentral.